AUAUCAAUAAGCGGAGGAAAAGAAACCAACAGGGAUUGCCCUAGUAACGGCGAGUGAAGCGGCAAUAGCUCAAAUUUGAAAUCUGGCUUCCUUGGAAGUCCGAGUUGUAAUUUGCAGAGGGCGCUUUGGCGUCGGUAGCGGUCUAAGUUCCUUGGAACAGGACGUCACAGAGGGUGAGAAUCCCGUACGUGGUCGACUACCUUCGCCGUGUAAAGCCCCUUCGACGAGUCGAGUUGUUUGGGAAUGCAGCUCUAAAUGGGAGGUAAAUUUCUUCUAAAGCUAAAUACUGGCCAGAGACCGAUAGCGCACAAGUAGAGUGAUCGAAAGAUGAAAAGCACUUUGGAAAGAGAGUCAAACAGCACGUGAAAUUGUUGAAAGGGAAGCGCUUGCCGCCAGACGUGCCCGUGGUGGUUCUCCUCCGCGGGCAGGCCAGCAUCAGUUUGGGCGAUCGGAUAAAGGCCUCUGUCAUGUAUCUCCCUUCGGGGUGACCUUAUAGGGGAGGCGUAAUGCGAUCAGUCCGGACUGAGGUCCGCGCAUCUGCUAGGAUGCUGGCGUAAUGGCUGUAAGCGGCCCGUCUUGAAACACGGACCAAGGAGUCUAACAUCUAUGCGAGUGUUUGGGUGUCAAGCCCGAGCGCGUAAUGAAAGUGAACGGAGGUGGGAACCCUUUGGGUGCACCAUCGACCGAUCCUGAAGUCUUCGGAUGGAUUUGAGUAAGAGCAUGGCUGUUGGGACCCGAAAGAUGGUGAACUAUGCUUGAAUAGGGUGAAGCCAGAGGAAACUCUGGUGGAGGCUCGCAGCGGUUCUGACGUGCAAAUCGAUCGUCUUGAUGUGACAUU
RNAcentral lists this ribosomal RNA (838 nucleotides) under Dictyosporium elegans. RNAcentral's name for it is "eukaryotic LSU rRNA". It matches the Rfam family "Eukaryotic large subunit ribosomal RNA", at positions 40 to 919 of the family's 3401-position model. Lineage: Eukaryota; Fungi; Ascomycota; Dothideomycetes; Pleosporales; Dictyosporiaceae. The record is from RNAcentral.